AGAUGAUGAGGAUGAUGAGGAUGAGGAUUUUCACAGUGAUGACAGUAAUGAUGAAGGAAUGGAGGUAAUAGCAAAAGAGUUUGGAGUGAAAAGAUACGGAUGGCUUGUUUACAUGGACAAAAAGGCUAAGGAGGAAGAGAAGAGGCAAAAGGAAAUAAUCAAAGGUGAUCCUGCAAUUAGGAAGCUAAGUCGCAAGGAAAGAAGGAAAGCAUCUCAAAUGGAACGGGAAAGGGAAAGAGAAGCUGCACGAAUUACUGGUACCAGAGUCCUACAUCAUGAUCCUUACCGAGAAUCUAGACGAAGUCCAACUUAUGAUGCUUAUCCACGUUCUAGAAGAUCAAGGUCCAGAUCACAUUCCCCAUCACACUCAAGGCAUCAUUCUCGUGGUCAUUUUGAUGAUGUUCAUCGGAGCAAACCAAGGACUCCAAAAAUUGAA
This 436-nucleotide unclassified non-coding RNA is filed under the name Hevea brasiliensis (rubber tree). Lineage: Eukaryota; Viridiplantae; Streptophyta; Magnoliopsida; Malpighiales; Euphorbiaceae. The record is from RNAcentral.